AAGUUAACACAUUAAGUUAAGCUCAUCUCAGGCCUUUUCUGAAGGCUGGCCUGGGACCUGUCAUUUGGGUCUUGCUAAUAGGAAAAUUAGUUAAAAUGGCAGUUAAAAGCUGUGAUGCAAAUGAAUCAAGUCCUAACAUAAAGCUACUCCAGUGGAAUGUUUAAUUUAAAUCAGCCAUAGGAUUAGCUCACUUUGUUUCCAAUGACAUUUGUAUAUUUCAGCAGAGGAAGUGCUUAUAAUGUACAAUCAUUUUUAUUUUAAAAUUUAAAGCCCAUAAAAAGUAAAUGACUGGCAGCAGGAAAAGAGGACACAAUACAAACCUCCUGUCCCACCAGUAACCUCUAUCAUGAGUUACAACUACUACCUUCUGUAGAUGUCAGAGAGAGUUUAUUCUUCAUGGUCUUUCAUUCCAAAGCAGUGACCAAAUACAUAUGCAGAAUGAAGGGGGAAAACAUGAGUGGCUGUGUAACAGGCAUUGAAAUCUGAAAGCCCCUGAGCCAGCUGAAACCAGCAAUAAUGCCAUUCUGGUAAGAUCUAACUCAUUCUUCAAUGUAUAACAGGUUUAUGGAAAGAACCUUGGCUUUGUUAAAGCAAGAAAAGCACAGUUCUAUCACAGUCAAUAAAUUUUAAAAUUAUGUUUUCUUGAAAAAAUAAAACAAUUUUUCAAUAUAACUCAGAUUUUUCAGAAAAACAUAUAUUGAAAAUAAAGUAGUUUUGGCUACUUAACAUUAUGAGCAACGAUUUCUGAUCAACAGUGUGUCAGGUUUCUUCCUGUUUCCUAAAUAUAACCGCGAACAUGUGCAAGCACAGCUGGCUCCUGACAGAAAACUGAGCAGGUCCUACAUCAAGCUGAGAAGGCAGACAGCAUCAGGAAGGACACAACAACCUAGCCAAGCUAACAGAAAGGACUAAUGUACACGCAGCCACAGAACACAUCAGUGCUUUCAUCAAAACCAGGAACCAUAACCAUGGCUAUGCAAAAACUUCAUAUCCAUGAUAACUAAAAUAUGCUUUCUUUUUUCUUAGAGUUGAGAAUCUUUAAAAAGUUUAAAACUUUUUAUCAGCCUUGAAACUUUAAGCAAUGAAUACGGAACUGCAUAAUCGCUAGAUGUCAAUGCUUUUCUUUCAUGAGAAGGUUUUGAAUUAGAUAAAUUUGAUACAAAUAAACAUAUCAAAUAGAGCUGUAAAUUUCCUUACCAGCAAGGAUGACUACUGAAAUAUGCACUAGAACAAACUCACAAUAUUUCCCACCAGACUUCAAAAACCACAGAGCUGCCUCCAUUCUCAGGUCAGUACAAAGGCUUUAGCUGUCCUUAAGCUUCUGCAGCUAACUCCAGGUCCUCUCACAUAAUUUAGAGACACUAAAAACAUUAAGUUAUAUAACACUUUCUGCUGAACAGCUUCAGUUUGCCUCCUAGCACAGGAUGCAACCCACAGGAAAAGGUCAGUAGCAAGACCGCAGUGAACUACAACAAAACAGAAUUCCAUUAUUUCACCCUUUUUUGUUCUAGAAGUCCAGCAUGAGAGUCACUUAUUCCUUUUCUGUAGGUCCUUCCCCACAAUUAUCAAGAAACAAACAAAGACAUGGAUUUUACUUUAUUCAAUCAUUACCUAUCAAUUUUGUAAGUACCAAUUUAGGGGAUUAGGCUAUACCACACCUGUUUAGCACUAGAAGCAUCAGUUUGCUUAAAGCAUACAAAUAGACACUUUUUUCUUUUUUUAAUUUGGGCAGGAGCAGGUAUGGAAACAUUACAUCCAAAUAGAAAUAAGAAUGUUAGGGUAUAAUGUAGAACCAAGGCAUUUUGAUUUCAAAGUAGACUUGGACAGAAAAAUCUGGCUUGCUUUUAUGGAGCACUCUAAGUAUAAAGAAAAAAAAAAUCAAGUAAUUAAAUUAUACCAUGGCAGCCGAAUGUGCAUUUCAUUCAGCUUCAACUGGAGAUGGCUAAACAUACUCUCCCACUCUGUUCCUUUCUUACUGGAAAGAAAACAUCUCGGCCUCAUUGGAUUUCUUCUGUGAUUCUCUCUCAUCUAGAUUUACUUAAUUAUCCCUUAACCUCUUAUCAGAAACAGCUCAGUCAUUCCUAUGGAAGGAAUUCUCCAUUAUUUGCCAUUUCUCUGUAUAGGUGAUCAUUUAUGUAAUUUAUGUGAUCAUCUCAGCCCUAUCCAGAUUGUUCUGUAUUUUUUGCCUUUAUAAAGAAAAUGUCACCCAUUUGUUGGAAAAAUAGAGGGCAGAAAACAUACAUCCAUUAUCUGAACAAAUAUCUUUCUGAGAGGAUAUUGGAAUACCACUAUUACAACACAACUGAUGCAGUAGGCAUUUGUUUCACGGUUGUCAAGAUCUAGUGGUGUAGGUCCAUGUCUUAAUCUUCUUCCACAAUUGCUUACAAGCUACCUUACCUUCCCACUUUGAAGACAGACACUUGCACCUAAUACCAUCCCAUUCAAACUCUGAAUUGCACAAAUAGUAACUUUCUUGCCAUUAUUAGGAUCAGUAUAGAGCUUGAGUCACACAAGCCUUUAGCAGAGCUCUCUGAGUUAGAUCAGGCGCAUGAAUAAUUCCUCAAUCACCACACACUUGCAGAAAGAAGUUAUUAUCAGGCAGGAAUAACAUCUAUGAAGCACACAAUAGCUGAUAAUUUUCACAUAAUAAUAGUUCUUCUAUUGCCAGCACAUCUUGGCUGGCAUCUAUGGGAAAGGGAAAAUAUUCUUUAACAUCAGGAUAUUCCAGUGCAGGACUGUAAUACAAAACACAGUUGCUCUGAACACACAUCUGGUGCCAGAAAGUGAAAAGCCUUCCAAAGUCUUGGUAUGAAAAAAAGUGUAGGAUUAUUCUAAAAAUGGGGAAAUAAACUAUUCUGGUUUUCUACAGAAAUUAUUCAAUUUUGCUUAAUGUUUCACUUUUUUCUCUAGGAUUGCUACUGACAAAUAACCCUAAAACCCUGUUGAACUUAAUAAAUAAAGAACAAAAUGAAAAGGUUUGUGUGAGAAAAAGAGGAGGGUACAAAACCAGAUAUCUUUACUCAGCAAAAGUCAGGAAGCAGUCCAUGCUGACUUCCAGCUGCUCUAAUUUUGAAUUAUGUGUCACUCAGAGCACUGAUUUAUUGGGACUAGAUUUAUUGCAAGCAACUAUCGGAGACUGUAUUUUCCACUUCAAAUACGGGCCCAAACAUUUACAAGAACACACAGUCUACACAACUGUUUAUUCAUCCACUUUUUUCAACAUGCCAUAAUAAAAGUGCUCUAUUGUUACUUCCAGAGUCAUAACAUUUUCUGUUAAACUUGCAAAAACAGACAGCUUCAGGCUGUAGACAAAAAACCCAGAACUCCUUGUUGAUUUACCUGACUUUCCUAUCCAAGUUCAUGAGAAAAAAAAGUCACAGGCCAAAGGAACAUCUAAUCAAAUACUAAAUUAUCUUUUCUCAGAAUGAACAAAAUGACUGAAAAAAGUAAAUAAAUAAAGCAUAUUUUCCCUGAAUACUCCACCAUUCCCCAGAUAACUUGUAACUUGGUGAGUUCCUGAGCCAGAGGGAACCGUUUUUGCCUUUGAUUUUUCUUGAGUGAGCUUAGUCAGCCCAUCAUUCGAACUACACAAUUUUUUAUAAUAAAGCCAGCAUACAAUUAGCUCACAGGAUGAGGCACAACAAAUCACAAUUUUCUACUGGUAAGUUUUUAGUUUUGGUUUUUUUUUUAACUUUGGUACAGAUACAAGUAUUACUAUUGCUAGAUUUCAUGUUACUUAGAACCAGUUGUAUAACUUUUUAUUACAAAAGUGAUAUUUAAUAAUGAAAGUCAUAAUAUAGCAGUUUCAAUAUAUAAUAAUCUUCUUCAAACAAAAAUAAUGGAAUUAAUUGGUUUAUUAGUAUACAGUAAUAGUGGAAUUCUUAGUUGGUUUAACUUUAGUACCUCCAACUACUGUCCAUGAAGAUGUCUUUGGCAAGAGCUCAUGUCUUACUUUACCCUCCAUGCUAGAAAACCUUUGGAUGAAAACCCAUCCACUUUCAAAAAAAAGUAAAAAUCCAGAUAAUUCAGCAGUAAAACGUGUGUGCAUACACACACACACAGUAGAAUUUUGAUGCGGGACACAACAUACCAAAAAUAUUUUUCUCUUUUUACCUGCCUUGCCUACUUUCUAAAAUAACUGACUGUAGCUCACACACACUUACUAUUCAGUGCAUGAAAACCAAGUGCAGAGCAUAUUAUUUUAAACUAUGCCAUGUUGCACAAGUGAAAAAGACUGAGUGUAUAUAUAUAUAUACACACAUAUAUAGAUAUAUAUGGCUUUUGUCAGUCACACAGCAAAGCACUUCCGUCAAUGAAAAAACUCCCACUUGAAUGCCUCCCCCUUUCCAGCCCCUCUGUCCCCACGGCAGAAGGGAGCUAUAAGAAGACACCAUUCCAUCACUUCCAGCAAUCGAAAAGCUUUUGAAGACAGAACUAUUGACGUCAUUGGACAGGCCUCACAGCUAGCCUCUAGAAAAAAGAAAAUAACAUUCUUACUCUGUAAACUGGACAACAUUUAUUUCUAAGAACAAAGCACACCCAUUGUGAGCAAGAGAAAGAAAGGAGUUACUUUCACAGUCUGAACCCCUGAAAGGAAAACACAGCUGCACCUGCAAGUUUUCUUUACUGCAGCACGAGCAUUGCCCUGCACUUUCUUAAGGACUGCCAAGAAGGAGAAGAUGCAAAAUAAAGUGAAUUCUUGUGCCCUUGUGCAUGAGGAAGAACAAUGCUGGGUUUUUUACUCCUUUUUUUUGUUUGGUUGGUUUUUUUUA
RNAcentral lists this long non-coding RNA (4772 nucleotides) under Taeniopygia guttata (zebra finch). RNAcentral's name for it is "lncRNA (ENSTGUG00000026331.1)". Lineage: Eukaryota; Metazoa; Chordata; Aves; Passeriformes; Estrildidae. The record is from RNAcentral.